RNAcentral lists this transfer RNA (64 nucleotides) under Crenidorsum turpiniae. RNAcentral's name for it is "tRNA-Gln". Lineage: Eukaryota; Metazoa; Arthropoda; Insecta; Hemiptera; Aleyrodidae. The record is from RNAcentral.
UUAAUUUAAGUAUAUUACGUUAAUUUUUGAUAUUAAAAAAACUAAUUAAUUUUAGUAAAUUAAA